CUAUUGAUUUUGAGCGGCAUUUUAUUUUCUCAAUAAGCGGCUUCUCAAACACGGCUUCUCAUCCGUUGUCUUUCAAAAACCCUAAUUCUAUCAAACACAAAAACUCUCAUCUAGGUAUCUUUAUCAUCUUCAACAUGCUUUUAGAUCUUGAAGAUCCAUCCAAUUCUCCUUUUCCUUCGUUCACCCCUUUUCAUUAUCAUCGAUUUUAUUUUGUCUUCCCCUUUCAUAAUCCUCUGUAAACCCUAGAAGAGUCUACACCAGUUCUUCGAGGUUACUGAUUCAAUCUGAUGGAAUGAUGGAUCUUUAUUCUGGCAUUUGGAGAGAGGGAAAUGGUCGAUAUUUACUGGCCUUUUGGAUCUUUAUUUACUGUUCUCUCAUACUCUUUGUGGAUUAGGGUUUUUUUUUUGUUUCCAUUGUUCCUCUUCAUCGGAUAAUCCCUCAUUCGCAUUCUGUUUGGAGAAAACCUAGCCGCAGUCCAUGGAAUCAGGAUUUCAUGGUUAUGUUAUAUUUGGCUAUUGAUGUUGAGAUCAAGCUUUUCUAUAUGCAAUGGAAGAGCAAUACAAGCCAUUGAAAGAAUUUGGUGCCGGGGAUUUUGUAAUAGCAAGCCUGGUUAUAGAUAAGAAGAUGAAAGAACUGUUUGCUAUCAAAGACAAUGAAUGAGGGAAACAGGUAUAAUCAUUAUUUUCUGAAUUGUGAGAAGAAAUAACCUUCAAUAGCGAUUUUGAAACCCAUCAAAUUUCUUUAUCAUUAUAUGUGGUUUACCUCACUUUCUAAAAGAAAUCAUUAUUUUUCUUUUUUAGUGAGUAAAUAUAUGUUAUAAUUUAGGGAUUAAGUCGAGUCUGAUUUCGUUGGAAUGACAAUUCUCCUUGAACGGUUUGUUAAUCUCGAGUGGCGAUUUGAAAUGUUUACUAAUGAAUAGAUCGAUAAAUGUUGUAUGUUAUUUCAAACGGGUCUAUCAAAAUUAGUUUCUGUAAAUGUUUUAUAUAUGCUUUGUGUCUGAAUUUCAUAACAUCUGGGGCUUUUGUGAAUUUAUUGUAGUAUCUGUGGAUUGACUUUGUUGUUAAUCCAUGUUAUCCUUUGCUGUUAAUUAUUCACACGAUUCUUACCAUGCGUCUGAAAAUUUGUCUGGAGUUCCUACGGCUUUCUACAUUCUCCCGUUUACAUGGAUUUGGGAAGCCUGAUAUCUGGGAUGAACAUGAGGAUGGAAUAUGGAAACCACCAAAGAUAGCAUAUCCGGCAUACAAAGGUACGAGUUUGGUGUGGCAAAUGAUACACUGAAACUAAUUUUGUGAUAGUUUUGUUCUGUGACAGUUAGACUGCAAAAGAUUUUAUCAUUACUCUGAUGUGCGAAUUCAUGUUGUGGAAGUUAUUGCAAAUUUGGUGAGUGAAGGUGGCUGCUUUUAGGGGUGAGCAAACGGGUCGGACCCGCUAGAACUGGAUCAAACUAACCCGGAACUGAGAACCGAAUGGGGUGUAUUUCAAGAACCGGAACUGAACCUUAUAAUACAUACACGGUUGUAACAGGACGAUUUGCUGCUGCUGCUGCUGCUACUAUAGCUGUUUCGGUCAAAGGAGUCCAUGUGCGAUUACAUCCUCUUUUUCUUUGCUAUGAUCCAGGAUGAAACCCUAGAUUCUCUGCUCCUCCAUCGACGCUCCAUCUCUUGCGAUUCUCUGCUCCUCCACCUGUGAGUGUUCAUGGCGAUUAUAGGACGGCAAAGCUUCAUACCACGUUAUCAAGAGGGAAUCUGAGUUGUGCCAGCGGAUGAUGGAAAGUUUGCUGAAUGCUGUUGCGGAUUUGGUGCUGAUAUGAUAAUGACUGCAGAAUCGUGUAGAAACAGUAUCAAUAUUAUGGGUAAUGAUAUGAUUUGUGCGAGUCAUGCUAAUGAAGGUUGUUAUUGGUCAAUAUUAAUGCACCAUCAGUGACUCAAAUAGGAUUACAUAAAUGACAUCGAGGUAAAAAAUGAACAGUAUUUCUUGAUGAACUCAAUUGUUGUUGGACAAAAAGUUAUCGUUCAAGAAGAAUUCAGAAUCAUAUCACAUACGCAUUCUUUUCCAAUAUCUUUUGCAAAUAGAAUGGGAAGGCUGGAAUAAUAGCUUAUGGAAAUGAGCUCAGUAAGUUAGUGAUACACCUGGGGAAAAGCAUGGGAUGAACCAGGCCAUUCUAAUGGUGGAGAUAUACUUCAUUUAAGCAUGGAUGUUUUAAAGGAGAAUGUAAUCGGUAUUGAUGGUCUGGACUUGAUCCUUAAGACCGAACAAAUCUCCUUGAAGUUCUGCAAGUAAUCAUGAAUUCGGAAACGCCAUGACUGUUGAUGAUUCAGGACAACUCCUGUUAGGUCCGAUCCAUAUUCAUUCGGAUCCGUGUCCAACUGAAAUUAAAUAGGCUUGCCAAACAUGGGUUUUAGCAUGAAGAGAUAUCAAGUUAUAAAUCAUACAUUUUUAGAAGUAGAUCUGUUUAGUCCAAAUAUAUUUUUAGAAUACAUUUUUCACCUUUAGUUAAGUUUAAUAAGCUACAUGAAUACAUUGGUGUGAGAUUAGCUAUGAACAAUGCAUAUUUAGAAGGGUCCAUUCA
Molecule: long non-coding RNA, 2569 nt
Organism: Helianthus annuus (common sunflower)
Lineage: Eukaryota; Viridiplantae; Streptophyta; Magnoliopsida; Asterales; Asteraceae
Exons: 11
Source: RefSeq, a predicted model, not a curated record